RNAcentral lists this small RNA (199 nucleotides) under Gopherus agassizii (Agassiz's desert tortoise). Its description in RNAcentral is "TUC338 (ENSGAGG00000020840.1)". Lineage: Eukaryota; Metazoa; Chordata; Testudines; Testudinidae. The record is from RNAcentral.
CUGACAGGCCUGGAGUCUGAUGUCUCCUAGGUAUUCACAGAUGAGGUGUAGCAUGAGCAGCAGCAGUGCAGUCAUCUCCCAGACAGCAGCCCUCUAGGGGUGUGUAGCUGGGUUGUUUGGUUUGGCCCAUGACCCUUAAAGUGCAACACUGUGAGACAGCUUAGGUUUGGCCAGCCCCUUGCUCACUUUCCCCUCGGCU